GGGUUGUGAGGUUAAGCGACUAAGCGUACACGGUGGAUGCCCUGGCAGUCAGAGGCGAUGAAGGACGUGCUAAUCUGCGAUAAGCGUCGGUAAGGUGAUAUGAACCGUUAUAACCGGCGAUUUCCGAAUGGGGAAACCCAGUGUGAUUCGUCACACUAUCAUUAACUGAAUCCAUAGGUUAAUGAGGCGAACCGGGGGAACUGAAACAUCUAAGUACCCCGAGGAAAAGAAAUCAACCGAGAUUCCCCCAGUAGCGGCGAGCGAACGGGGAGCAGCCCAGAGCCUGAAUCAGUGUGUGUGUUAGUGGAAGCGUCUGGAAAGGCGCGCGAUACAGGGUGACAGCCCCGUACACAAAAAUGCACAUGCUGUGAGCUCGAUGAGUAGGGCGGGACACGUGGUAUCCUGUCUGAAUAUGGGGGGACCAUCCUCCAAGGCUAAAUACUCCUGACUGACCGAUAGUGAACCAGUACCGUGAGGGAAAGGCGAAAAGAACCCCGGCGAGGGGAGUGAAAAAGAACCUGAAACCGUGUACGUACAAGCAGUGGGAGCACGCUUAGGCGUGUGACUGCGUACCUUUUGUAUAAUGGGUCAGCGACUUAUAUUCUGUAGCAAGGUUAACCGAAUAGGGGAGCCGAAGGGAAACCGAGUCUUAACUGGGCGUUAAGUUGCAGGGUAUAGACCCGAAACCCGGUGAUCUAGCCAUGGGCAGGUUGAAGGUUGGGUAACACUAACUGGAGGACCGAACCGACUAAUGUUGAAAAAUUAGCGGAUGACUUGUGGCUGGGGGUGAAAGGCCAAUCAAACCGGGAGAUAGCUGGUUCUCCCCGAAAGCUAUUUAGGUAGCGCCUCGUGAAUUCAUCUCCGGGGGUAGAGCACUGUUUCGGCAAGGGGGUCAUCCCGACUUACCAACCCGAUGCAAACUGCGAAUACCGGAGAAUGUUAUCACGGGAGACACACGGCGGGUGCUAACGUCCGUCGUGAAGAGGGAAACAACCCAGACCGCCAGCUAAGGUCCCAAAGUCAUGGUUAAGUGGGAAACGAUGUGGGAAGGCCCAGACAGCCAGGAUGUUGGCUUAGAAGCAGCCAUCAUUUAAAGAAAGCGUAAUAGCUCACUGGUCGAGUCGGCCUGCGCGGAAGAUGUAACGGGGCUAAACCAUGCACCGAAGCUGCGGCAGCGACACUAUGUGUUGUUGGGUAGGGGAGCGUUCUGUAAGCCUGUGAAGGUGUACUGUGAGGUAUGCUGGAGGUAUCAGAAGUGCGAAUGCUGACAUAAGUAACGAUAAAGCGGGUGAAAAGCCCGCUCGCCGGAAGACCAAGGGUUCCUGUCCAACGUUAAUCGGGGCAGGGUGAGUCGACCCCUAAGGCGAGGCCGAAAGGCGUAGUCGAUGGGAAACAGGUUAAUAUUCCUGUACUUGGUGUUACUGCGAAGGGGGGACGGAGAAGGCUAUGUUGGCCGGGCGACGGUUGUCCCGGUUUAAGCGUGUAGGCUGGUUUUCCAGGCAAAUCCGGAAAAUCAAGGCUGAGGCGUGAUGACGAGGCACUACGGUGCUGAAGCAACAAAUGCCCUGCUUCCAGGAAAAGCCUCUAAGCAUCAGGUAACAUCAAAUCGUACCCCAAACCGACACAGGUGGUCAGGUAGAGAAUACCAAGGCGCUUGAGAGAACUCGGGUGAAGGAACUAGGCAAAAUGGUGCCGUAACUUCGGGAGAAGGCACGCUGAUAUGUAGGUGAAGCGACUUGCUCGUGGAGCUGAAAUCAGUCGAAGAUACCAGCUGGCUGCAACUGUUUAUUAAAAACACAGCACUGUGCAAACACGAAAGUGGACGUAUACGGUGUGACGCCUGCCCGGUGCCGGAAGGUUAAUUGAUGGGGUCAGCGCAAGCGAAGCUCUUGAUCGAAGCCCCGGUAAACGGCGGCCGUAACUAUAACGGUCCUAAGGUAGCGAAAUUCCUUGUCGGGUAAGUUCCGACCUGCACGAAUGGCGUAAUGAUGGCCAGGCUGUCUCCACCCGAGACUCAGUGAAAUUGAACUCGCUGUGAAGAUGCAGUGUACCCGCGGCAAGACGGAAAGACCCCGUGAACCUUUACUAUAGCUUGACACUGAACAUUGAGCCUUGAUGUGUAGGAUAGGUGGGAGGCUUGGAAGUGUGGACGCCAGUCUGCAUGGAGCCGACCUUGAAAUACCACCCUUUAAUGUUUGAUGUUCUAACGUGGACCCGUGAUCCGGGUUGCGGACAGUGUCUGGUGGGUAGUUUGACUGGGGCGGUCUCCUCCUAAAGAGUAACGGAGGAGCACGAAGGUUGGCUAAUCCUGGUCGGACAUCAGGAGGUUAGUGCAAUGGCAUAAGCCAGCUUGACUGCGAGCGUGACGGCGCGAGCAGGUGCGAAAGCAGGUCAUAGUGAUCCGGUGGUUCUGAAUGGAAGGGCCAUCGCUCAACGGAUAAAAGGUACUCCGGGGAUAACAGGCUGAUACCGCCCAAGAGUUCAUAUCGACGGCGGUGUUUGGCACCUCGAUGUCGGCUCAUCACAUCCUGGGGCUGAAGUAGGUCCCAAGGGUAUGGCUGUUCGCCAUUUAAAGUGGUACGCGAGCUGGGUUUAGAACGUCGUGAGACAGUUCGGUCCCUAUCUGCCGUGGGCGCUGGAGAACUGAGGGGGGCUGCUCCUAGUACGAGAGGACCGGAGUGGACGCAUCACUGGUGUUCGGGUUGUCAUGCCAAUGGCACUGCCCGGUAGCUAAAUGCGGAAGAGAUAAGUGCUGAAAGCAUCUAAGCACGAAACUUGCCCCGAGAUGAGUUCUCCCUGACUCCUUGAGAGUCCUGAAGGAACGUUGAAGACGACGACGUUGAUAGGCCGGGUGUGUAAGCGCAGCGAUGCGUUGAGCUAACCGGUACUAAUGAACCGUGAGGCUUAACCUUACAACGCCGAAG
Molecule: ribosomal RNA, 2924 nt
Filed under: Escherichia coli
Lineage: Bacteria; Pseudomonadati; Pseudomonadota; Gammaproteobacteria; Enterobacterales; Enterobacteriaceae
Description: bacterial LSU rRNA
Rfam family: Bacterial large subunit ribosomal RNA
Source: RNAcentral